RNAcentral lists this ribosomal RNA (429 nucleotides) under uncultured Lactobacillus sp. RNAcentral's name for it is "bacterial SSU rRNA". It matches the Rfam family "Bacterial small subunit ribosomal RNA", at positions 355 to 776 of the family's 1533-position model. The record is from RNAcentral. Lineage: Bacteria; Bacillati; Bacillota; Bacilli; Lactobacillales; Lactobacillaceae.
UAGGGAAUCUUCCACAAUGGACGAAAGUCUGAUGGAGCAAUGCCGCGUGAGUGAAGAAGGGUUUCGGCUCGUAAAACUCUGUUGUUAGAGAAGAACGGGCGUGAGAGUAACUGCUCACGUCGCGACGGUAUCUAACCAGAAAGUCACGGCUAACUACGUGCCAGCAGCCGCGGUAAUACGUAGGUGGCAAGCGUUGUCCGGAUUUAUUGGGCGUAAAGCGAGCGCAGGCGGUCUUCUAAGUCUGAUGUGAAAGCCUUCGGCUUAACCGGAGAAGUGCAUCGGAAACUGGGAAACUUGAGUGCAGAAGAGGACAGUGGAACUCCAUGUGUAGCGGUGAAAUGCGUAGAUAUAUGGAGGAACACAAGUGGCGAAGGCGGCUGUCUAGUCUGUAACUGACGCUGAGGCUCGAAAGCAUGGGUAGCAAACAGG